CAUCAUUUUCCUUCAGCAAUUUUCCAUACCCCUUCAAGAAAUUAUCUCCAUGGUCAGUGUGCUGGUACUUGGACACAUUUCCACGUUGAGUCAGCACGAUGUAGUAACUUCCAUCGAUCUCAAAUUUGGGAGUGUCUGAGACGACGAGAUUGCCAUUGUCUUUGCGGCCAAGUAGUAAUCCUUGUUGGGAGAUCUUAUGCAAGUGUCCGAGUACAUUUUGAAGUAUUCUUCGAGACGAUCAAUGAUGUGGAAGCUGCAAGUUAAGACAAAAGAAAGUUGAGAGACUCGAAAACAUCAAAUUGGAAUUCUAAAGCUAGAAACUGACAUAUGAAUAUCUUGCAUGAAGUCGUUCUGAAGCUUAACCCAUGCAUUGGCCCUGUGAUCAACAACUAGUUUGUAGUUGGAAUCUUGGGGCAAAGGUUU
This 423-nucleotide long non-coding RNA is filed under the name Selaginella moellendorffii. Its description in RNAcentral is "long non-coding RNA (SMOE_LNC000127)". Lineage: Eukaryota; Viridiplantae; Streptophyta; Lycopodiopsida; Selaginellales; Selaginellaceae. The record is from RNAcentral.